Molecule: ribosomal RNA, 253 nt
Filed under: uncultured bacterium
Lineage: Bacteria
Description: partial 16S ribosomal RNA
Rfam family: Bacterial small subunit ribosomal RNA
Source: RNAcentral
UACGUAGGGUGCAAGCGUUGUUCGGGAUUACUGGGCGUAAAGGGCUCGUAGGCGGCCAACUAAGUCAGACGUGAAAUCCCUCGGCUUAACCGGGGAACUGCGUCUGAUACUGGAUGGCUUGAAUCCGGGAGAGGGAUGCGGAAUUCCACGUGUAGCAGUGAAAUGCGUAGAGAUGUGGAGGAACACCGAUGGCGAAGGCAGCCCCCUGGGCUAACACUGACGCUCAUGCACGAAAGCGUGGGGAGCAAACAGG